This is a long non-coding RNA of Lemur catta (Ring-tailed lemur), 101 nucleotides long. RefSeq lists it as uncharacterized. Lineage: Eukaryota; Metazoa; Chordata; Mammalia; Primates; Lemuridae. The transcript is spliced from 3 exons. The record is from RefSeq and is a predicted model, not a curated record.
GGCGGCGGACGAGAUGCAGAUGGCCGACGGAGUGUAUGUCAGAUGCUGUCCUGAAAUCACUCAAUCCACAUAACUGCCCUAUGAGGCCUCGCUGCUGUAAG